GGAUCCGGGCCCGCCCCAGGGGAGCGGCCGAGGCGGGCGGGGCGGUGCCUGCGGAACCAGCUCAGCGGCGCGGCGGGGCCCGGCCUUUCUUUGCACCGCCGCGACCGGGGACGGACGCGGUGCUUACGCCCGGUGGCCGCCAUGAGGGCUUCCAGCCGAUACGCGGCUUUGUGCCUGUGUGGAGGGAUUGCCGUGGCUGGAAGGUGCCGGGCGGCAGAGCCGGCUGAAGGGAGAACACAGCCCUCGGUAGCGUGUGCUGCCGGGGGCCUUCAUCCUGCCAGCCCCGAGCUUUGCAGGGGGUGGAAGCAGCAAAAUGAGGCGUCUUGUGGAGGAGACUGAAGCUACUGGAGCCAGCCCAUGGAUAGAGGAGGUGUAAAGGAGUGACUUGCAUGCGAGGUGAAACGGGGAGCCCAGGAGCCUCUGGAGACACGUGGUGCGGGCUUGCUGGAGCAGCGGUUGUCAGAAGAAAUGAGCUUUCUGUGCUGCUUUGAAGAUCCCCAUUUGAAAGAUACGGAGAAGAUGGAAACUUACAGUCCAUAAUUUAAAUGGGAAUAACAGAGAAGGAUAGAUGUAGUAACUUGAAACAUCAAAGAUGGUUGGGGGUCAAACUGUAACAAGAAUUACAUGUGCAAUUUGUUAUUGUUAAUCCCCUCUACUGCUUCUUUAAAAAUACUUAUUUUUAUGUGACCUUUAUUAAACUUCUAUUUAAACUUGCUAA
Molecule: long non-coding RNA, 718 nt
Organism: Strigops habroptila (Kakapo)
Lineage: Eukaryota; Metazoa; Chordata; Aves; Psittaciformes; Psittacidae
Exons: 3
Source: RefSeq, a predicted model, not a curated record